CACCCUUCCCAGCCUCAGUUUCCCUUCCUGUAAGAAGAGAACGUUUACUUCCAAGCUCACACUAGGGCGGGCCGAUCAUGUAUUUAUCCUCCUCCAUUAAGCGCGGACUGCAUACCUACAGCCCAGAACCUGCGACGCGGGAACCCUUUGAUCCUGUUCAUCGCAGCUGACAAACAAGGACACUGAGGCACCGAUGAGAGCCCUUGGCCGAAGGGACACAUGUCCCCAGCACGAGGUGUGAGUCUGCAGCUGCUCUUCAGAUUCCAGCUCAGGAGUCUUUCUCACAUGCCUAUUCCUGCGGAGCGCGUUUCUCUCCUGGUCUCCAAAGCUACAGGCCUGAAGGGUCCAAAUAACUUCAUGAAUUGUAACUCCCGUCUCAGCCUGCAUCUGUUUCAGUGGACUUCUGUCUGGCUGACUGACAUAUCCAGGCACUGGCUGCUGACUUCAGUCUGUGAGACAUGGACCUGCAGAAGGCUUAUGGUGGGCCAGUGCAGCAAAAUGUAACUAUUUUCUUCCUCUACAAUAAAUUCCUCUAUGAUAAA
Peromyscus eremicus (cactus mouse) is the source of this 542-nucleotide long non-coding RNA. RefSeq lists it as uncharacterized. The transcript has 2 exons. Lineage: Eukaryota; Metazoa; Chordata; Mammalia; Rodentia; Cricetidae. The record is from RefSeq and is a predicted model, not a curated record.